This 6114-nucleotide long non-coding RNA is filed under the name Citrus x clementina. RNAcentral describes it as "Citrus clementina (C. clementina) long non-coding RNA (CCLE_LNC004763)". Lineage: Eukaryota; Viridiplantae; Streptophyta; Magnoliopsida; Sapindales; Rutaceae. The record is from RNAcentral.
GGGCGGUUCAUGCCCCGGGGGGGACAGCGGGGCGGGAUCGGCACACGGCGGGUGAGGUGAUUGGGUUCGGGCGGGUGCGGUCGGCGGCGGGGGCGCCCGGGGGGCUAUAGCGCACGGCCUCGGGGGCCGCAAAGAAGGGGCCGUAACUCAUGAUUGGGGCCCCCGAUUCCGUUUCCGUUUCGUACCACGGGACCAGUGGUCCGGGCGCAUCGGGAUGGGGGGGUAGCCGCGCGGCAGUUUGAACGGCGAAAAAUGGGCAAGAUCGGGGGCCGCUUAGUAGGCUUUGCCGGUUUCGGCCGUAACUCAUGAUCCGGGCCUCCGAUUCCGUUUCCGUUUGGUCCCACGGGACCAGCGGCCCGGGGGCAUCGGGAUGGGGGGUAGCCGUGCGGCGGUUUGAUCGCCGAAAAAUGGGUAAGAUCGGGGCCGUUUGGCCCGGUUUGCCAGUUUCGGCCCCCCGGGGGGCGGUUCAUGCCCCGGGGGGGACAACAGGGCGGGAUCGGCACACGGGGGGUGAGGUGGUCGGGUUCGGGCGGGUGCGGUCGGCGGCGGGGGCGCCCGGGGGGCUAUAGCGCACGGCCUCGGGGGCCGCAAAGAAGGGGCCGUAACUCAUGAUCGGGGCCCCCGAUUCCGUUUCCGUUUCGUACCACGGGACCAGCGGUCCGGGGGCAUCGGGAUGGGGGGGUAGCCGCGCGGCAGUUUGAACGGCGAAAAAUGGGCAAGAUCGGGGGCCGCUUAGUAGGCUUUGCCGGUUUCGGCCGUAACUCAUGAUCCGGGCCUCCGAUUCCGUUUCCGUUUGGUCCCACGGGACCAGCGGUCCGGGGGCAUCGGGAUGGGGGGGUAGCCGUGCGGCGGUUUGAUCGCCAAAAAAUGGGUAAGAUCGGGGCCAUUUGACCCGUUUUGUCGGUUUCGGCCCCCCGGGGGGCGGUUCAUGCCCCGGGGGGGACAGCGGGGCGGGAUCNNNNNNNNNNNNNNNNNNNNNNNNNNNNNNNNNNNNNNNNNNNNNNNNNNNNNNNNNNNNNNNNNNNNNNNNNNNNNNNNNNNNNNNNNNNNNNNNNNNNCGGCGGCGGGGGCGCCCGGGGGGCUAUAGCGCACCGCCUCGGGGGCCGCAAACAAGGGGCCGUAACUCAUGAUCGGGGCCCCCGAUUCCGUUUCCGUUUCGUACCACGGGACCAGCGGUCCGGGGGCAUCGGGAUGGGGGGGUAGCCGCGCGGCAGUUUGAACGGCGAAAAAUGGGCAAGAUCGGGGGCCGCUUAGUAGGCUUUGCCGGUUUCGGCCGUAACUCAUGAUCCGGGCCUCCGAUUCCGUUUCCGUUUGGUCCCACGGGACCAGCGGUCCGGGGGCAUCGGGAUGGGGGGGUAGCCGUGCGGCGGUUUGAUCGCCGAAAAAUGGGUAAGAUCGGGGCCGUUUGGCCCGUUUUGCCGGUUUCGGCCCCCCGGGGGGCGGUUCAUGCCCCGGGGGGGACAGCGGGGCGGGAUCGGCACACGGCGGCUGAGGUGGUCGGGUUCGGGCGGGUGCGGUCGGCGGCGGGGGCGCCCGGGGGGCUAUAGCGCACGGCCUCGGGGGCCGCAAAGAAGGGGCCAUUACUCAUGAUCGGGGCCCCCGAUUCCGUUUCCGUUUCGUACCACGGGACCAGCGGUCCGGGGGCAUCGGGAUGGGGGGGUAGCCGCGCGGCAGUUUGAACGGCGAAAAAUGGGCAAGAUCGGGGGCCGCUUAGUAGGCUUUGCCGGUUUCGGCCGUAACUCAUGAUCCGGGCCUCCGAUUCCGUUUCCGUUUGGUCCCACGGGACCAGCGGUCCGGGGGCAUCGGGAUGGGGGGGUAGCCGUGCGGCGGUUUGAUCGCCGAAAAAUGGGUAAGAUCGGGGCCGUUUGGCCCGUUUUGCCGGUUUCGGCCCCCCGGGGGGCGGUUCAUGCCCCGGGGGGGACAGCGGGGCGGGAUCGGCACACGGCGGCUGAGGUGGUCGGGUUCGGGCGGGUGCGGUCGGCGGCGGGGGCGCCCGGGGGGCUAUAGCGCACGGCCUCGGGGGCCGCAAAGAAGGGGCCAUUACUCAUGAUCGGGGCCCCCGAUUCCGUUUCCGUUUCGUACCACGGGACCAGCGGUCCGGGGGCAUCAGGAUGGGGGGGUAGCCGCGCGGCAGUUUGAACGGCGAAAAAUGGGCAAGAUCGGGGGCCGCUUAGUAGGCUUUGCCGGUUUCGGCCGUAACUCAUGAUCCGGGCCUCCGAUUCCGUUUCCGUUUGGUCCCACGGGACCAGCGGUCCGGGGGCAUCGGGAUGGGGGGGUAGCCGUGCGGCGGUUUGAUCGCCGAAAAAUGGGUAAGAUCGGGGCCGUUUGGCCCGUUUUGCCGGUUUCGGCCCCCUGGGGGGCGGUUCAUGCCCCGGGGGGGACAGCGGGGCGGGAUCGGCACACGGCGGGUGAGGUGGUCGGGUUCGGGUGGGUGCGGUCGGCGGCGGGGGCGCCCGGGGGGCUAUAGCGCACGGCCUCGGGGGCCGCAAAGAAGGGGCCGUAACACAUGAUCGGGGCCCCCGAUUCCGUUUCCGUUUCGUACCACGGGACCAGCGGUCCGGGGGCAUCGGGAUGGGGGGGUAGCCGCGCGGCAGUUUGAACGGCGAAAAAUGGGCAAGAUCGGGGGCCGCUUAGUACGCUUUGCCGGUUUUGGCCGUAACUCAUGAUCCGGGCCUCCGAUUCCGUUUCCGUUUGGUCCCACGGGACCAGCGGUCCGGGGGCAUCGGGAUGGGGGGAUAGCAGUGCGGCGGUUUGAUCGCCGAAAAAUGGGUAAGAUCGGGGCCGUUUGGCCCGUUUUGCCGGUUUCGGCCCCCCGCGGGGCGGUUCAUGCCCCGGGGGGGACAGCGCGGCGGUAUCGGCUCACGGCGGUGAGGUGGUCGGGUUCGGGCGGGUGCGGUCGGCGGCGGGGGCGCCCGGGGGGCUAUAGCGCACGGCCUCGGGGGCCGCAAAGAAGGGGCCGUAACUCAUGAUCGGGGCCCCCGAUUCCGUUUCUGUUUCGUACCACGGGACCAGCGGUCCGGGGGCAUCGGGAUGGGGGGGUAGCCGCGCGGCAGUUUGAACGGCGAAAAAUGGUCAAGAUCGGGGGCCGCUUAGUAGGCUUUGCCGGUUUCGGCCGUAACUCAUGAUCCGGGCCUCCGAUUCCGUUUCCGUUUGGUCCCACGGGACCAGCGGUCCGGGGGAAUCGGGAUGGGGGGGUAGCCGUGCGGCGGUUUGAUCGCCGAAAAAUGGGUAAGAUCGGGGCCGUUUGGCCCGUUUUGCCGGUUUCGGCCCCCCGGGGGGCGGUUCAUGCCCCGGGGGGGACAGCGGGGCGGGAUCGGCACACGGCGGGUGAGGUGGUCGGGUUCGGGCGGGUGCGGUCGGCGGCGGGGGCGCCCGGGGGGCUAUAGCGCACGGCCUCGGGGGCCGCAAAGAAGGGGCCGUAACUCGUGAUCGGGGCCCCCGAUUCCGUUUCCGUUUCGUACCACGGGACCAGCGGUCCGGGCGCAUCGGGAUGCGGGGGUAGCCGCGCGGCAGUUUGAACGGNNNNNNNNNNNNNNNNNNNNNNNNNNNNNNNNNNNNNNNNNNNNNNNNNNNNNNNNNNNNNNNNNNNNNNNNNNNNNNNNNNNNNNNNNNNNNNNNNNNNUCCCACGGGACCAGCGGUCCGGGGGCAUCGGGAUGGGGGGGUAGCCGUGCGGCGGUUUGAUCGCCGAAAAAUGGGUAAGAUCGGGGCCGUUUGGCUCGUUUUGCCGGGUUUCGGCCCCCCGGGGGGCGGUUCAUGCCCCGGGGGGGACAGCGGGGCGGGAUCGGCACACAGCGGGUGAGGUGGUCGGGUUCGGGCGGGUGCGGUCGGCGGCGGGGGCGCCCGGGGGGCUAGCCCACGGCCUCGGGGGCCGCAAAGAAGGGGCCGUAACUCAUGAUCGGGGCCCCCGAUUCCGUUUCCGUUUCGUACCACGGUACCAGCGGUCCGGGGGCAUGGGGAUGGGGGGGUAGCCGCGCGGCAGUUUGAACGGCGAAAAAUGGGCAAGAUCGGGGGCCGCUUAGUAGGCUUUGCCGGUUUCGGCCGUAACUCAUGAUCCGGGCCUCCGAUUCCGUUUGGUCCCACGGGACCAGCGGUCCUGGGGCAUGGGGAUGGGGGGGUAGCCUUGCGGCGGUUUGAUCGCCGAAAAAUGGGUAAGAUCGGGGCCGUUUGACCCGUUUUGCCGGUUUCGCCCCCCCGGGGGGCGGUUCAUGCCCCGGGGGGGACAGCGGGGCGGGAUCAGCACACGGCGGGUGAGGUGGUCGGGUUCGGGCGGGUGCGGUCGGCGACGGAGGCGCCCGGGGGGCUAUAGCGCACGGCCUCGGGGGCCGCAAUGAAGGGGCCGUAACUCAUGAUCGGGGCCCCCGAUUCCGUUUCCGUUUCGUACCACGGGGCCAGCGGUCCGGGGGCAUCGGCAUGGACGGGUAGCCGCGCGGCAGUUUGAACGGCGAAAAAUGGGCAAGAUCGGGGGCCGCUUUGUAGGCUUUGCCGGUUUCGGCCGUAACUCAUGAUCCGGGCCUCUGAUUCCGUUUCCGUUUGGUCCCACGGGACCAGCGGUCCGGGGGCAUCGGGAUGGGGGGGUAGCCGUGCGGCGGUUUGAUCGCCGAAAAAUGGGUAAGAUCGGGGCCGUUUGGCCCGUUUUGCCGGUUUCGGCCCCCCGGGGGGGACAGCGGGGCGGGAUGGGCACACGGCGGGUGAGGUGGUCGGGUUCGGGCGGGUGCGGUCGGCGGCGGGGGCGUCCGGGGGGCUAUAGCGCACGGCCUCGGGGGCCGCAAAGAUGGGGCCGUAACUCAUGAUCGGGGCCCCCGAUUCCGUUUCCGUUUCGUACCACGGGACCAGCGGUCCGGGGGCAUCGGGAUGGGGGGGUAGCCGCGCGGCAGUUUGAACGGCGAAAAAUGGGCAAGAUCGGGGGCCGCUUUGUAGGCUUUGCCGGUUUCGGCCGUAACUCAUGAUCCGGGCCUCCGAUUCCGUUUCCGUUUGGUCCCACAGGACCAGCGGUCCGGGGGCAUCGGGAUGGGGGGGUAGCCGUGCGGCGGUUUGAUCGCCGAAAANNNNNNNNNNNNNNNNNNNNNNNNNNNNNNNNNNNNNNNNNNNNNNNNNNNNNNNNNNNNNNNNNNNNNNNNNNNNNNNNNNNNNNNNNNNNNNNNNNNNCGGGAUCGCCACACGAAGGGUGAGGCAGUCAGGUUUAGCCGGGUGCGGUCGGCGGCGGGGGCGCCCGGGGGGCUAUAGCGCACGGCCUCGGGGGCCGCAAAGAAGGGGCCGUAGCUCCUGAUCGGAGCCCCCGAUUCCGUUUCCGUUUCGUACCACGGGACCAGCGGUCCAGGGGCAUCGGGAUGGGGGGGUAGCCGCGCGGCAGUUUUAACGGCGAAAAAUGGGCAAGAUCGGGGGCCGCUUAGUAGGCUUUGCCGGUUUCGGCCGUAACUCAUGAUCCGGGCCUCCGAUUCCGUUUCCGUUUGGUCCCACGGGACCAGUGGUCCGGGGGCAUCGGGAUGGGGGGGUAGCCGUGCGGCGGUUUGAUCGCCGAAAAAUGGGUAAGAUCGGGGCCGUUUGGCCCGUUUUGCCGGUUUCGGCCCCCCAGGGGGCGGUUCAUGCCCCGGGGAGGACAGCGGGGCGGGAUCGGCACACGGGGGGUGAGGUGGUCGGGUUCGGGCGGGUGCGGCCGGCGGCGGGGGCGCCCGGGGGGCUAUAGCGCACGGCCUCGGGGGCCGCAAAGAAGGGGCCGUAACUCAUGAUCGGGGCCCCCGAUUCCGUUUCCGUUUCGUACCACGGGACCAGUGGUCCGGGGGCAUCGGGAUGGGGGGGGUAGCCGCGCGGCAGUUUGAACGGCGAAAAAUGGGCAAGAUCGGGGGCCGCUUAGUAGGCUUUGCCGGUUUCGGCCGUAACUCAUGAUCCGGGCCUCCGAUUCCGUUUCCGUUUGGUCCCACGGGACCAGCGGUCCGGGGGCAUCGGGAUGGGGGGGUAGCCGUGCGGCGGUUUGAUCGCCGAAAAAUGGGUAAGAUCGGGGCCGUUUGGCCCGUUUUCCCGGUUUCGGCCCCCCGGGGGGGACAGCGGGGCGGGAUCGGCACACGGCGGGUGAGGUGGUCGGGUUCGGGCGGGUGCGGUCGGCGGCGGGGGCGCCC